Molecule: ribosomal RNA, 497 nt
Filed under: uncultured bacterium
Lineage: Bacteria
Description: partial 16S ribosomal RNA
Rfam family: Bacterial small subunit ribosomal RNA
Source: RNAcentral
ACUCAAAGGAAUUGACGGGGGCCCGCACAAGCGGCGGAGCAUGUUGCUUAAUUCGAUGCAACGCGAAAAACCUCACCUGGGUUGAACUAUGCAGGAAAAGCCACAGAGAUGUGGUGUCCUUCGGGGUCUGCGAUAGGUGGUGCAUGGCUGUCGUCAGCUCGUGUCGUGAGAUGUUGGGUUAAGUCCCGCAACGAGCGCAACCCUUAUCCUGUGUUGCCAGCGCGUAAUGGCGGGGACUCGCAGGAGACUGCCGGGGUCAACUCGGAGGAAGGUGGGGACGACGUCAAGUCAUCAUGCCCCUUACGUCCAGGGCUGCAAACAUGCUACAAUGGCCGGUACAAUGGGCUGCGAACUCGCGAGGGUAAGCGAAUCCCUUAAAGCCGGUCUCAGUUCGGAUCGGAGUCUGCAACUCGACUCCGUGAAGCUGGAGUCGCUAGUAAUCCCGGAUCAGCAUUGCCGGGGUGAAUACGUUCCCGGGCCUUGCACACACCGCCCGU